This is a long non-coding RNA of Oncorhynchus tshawytscha (Chinook salmon), 1607 nucleotides long. NCBI's taxonomy places the organism in Eukaryota, Metazoa, Chordata, Actinopteri, Salmoniformes, Salmonidae. The record is from Ensembl.
CUUCAACGCACGUUCUAAUGAACUCGCACACCGAAUCAGCGUAUUCGUCAAUAUUGUUAUCUGACGCAAUACGAAACAUCUCCCAGUCCACGUGAUGGAAGCAGUCUUGGAGUGUGGAGUCAGCUUGGUCGGACCAGCGCUUCCCACAAUAAGUUGGGUGAAUUUUGUCCCAUUCCUCCUGACAGAACUGGUGUAACUGAGUCAGGUUUGUAGGCCUCCUUGCCUGCACACGCUUUUUCAGUUCUGUCCACAAAUUUUCUAUAGGAUUGAGGUCAGGGCUUUGUGAUGGCCACUCCAAUACCUUGACUUUGUUGUUGGUAAGCUAUUUUGCCACAACUUUGGAAGUAUGCUUGGGGUCAUUGUCCAUUUGGAAGAGCCAUUUGCGAGCAAGAUUUAACUUCCUGACUGAUGUUUUGAGACGUUGCUUCAAUAUAUCCACAUAAUUUUCCUCCCUCAUGAUGCUAUCUAUUUUGUGAAGUGCACCAGUCCCUCCUGCAGCAAAGCACCCCCACAACAUGAUGCUGCCACUGCCGUGCUUCACAGUUGGGAUGGUGUUCUUCAGCUUGCAAGCUCCCCCUUUUUCCUCCAAACACAACGGUGGUCAUUAUGGCCAAACAGUUCUAUUUUUGUUUCAUCAGGCCAGAGGACAUUUCUCCAAAAAGUACAAUCUUUGUCCCCAUGUGCAGUUGCAAACCGUAGUCUGACUUUUUUUAUGGCAGUUUUGGAGCAGUGGCUUCUUCCUUGCUGAGUGGCCUUUCAGGUUAUGUCGAUAUAGGACUCGUUUAACUGUGGAUAUAGAUACUUUUGCACCUGUUUCCUCCAGCAUCUUCACAGGGUUAAUUGCUGUUGUUCUGGGAUUGAUUUGCACUUUUUGCACCAAAGUACUUUCAUCUCUAGGAGACAGAACCCGUCUCCUUCCUGAGCAGUAUGAUGGCUGUGUGGUCCCAUGUUGUUUAUACUUGUGUAGUAUUUUUUGUACAGAUGAAUGUGGUACCUUCAUGUGUUUGGAAAUUGCUCCCAAGGAUAAAACAGACUUGUGGAGGUCUACAAUGAUGUUUCUUAGCUCUUGGCAGGUUGCUUUUGAUUUUCCUGUGAUGUCAAGCAAAGAGGCACUGAGUUCGAAGGUAGGCCUUGAAAUACAUCCACAGGUACACCUCCAAUUGACUCGAAUGAUGUCAAUUAGCCUAUCAGAAGCUUCUAAAGCCAUGACAUCAUUUUCUGGAAUUUUCCAAGCUGUUUAAAGGCAUAGUCAACUUAGUGUAUGUAAACUUCUGACCCACUGGAAUUGUGAUACAGUGAAUUAUAAGUGAAAUAAUCUGUCUGUGAACAAGAAAUUUGUUAAUUGGUCGUAAAAUGAGUUUUAAUAAUUCCAACCUAAGUCAGGAAUGCAUCGAACCAAAAUAUUCCUUCGGGGAAGCUCCCAAGCCAUCAAGACCCACGCCUCACGCCAUUGGCCGUUCGAUAGCCACGCUUUCACCCGGCGUUCAAGGAGUAGCAGUCUGCCUGCCACAGUGCCACAUCCAACCAGCCAAUAGUACGAUUAUUUACUGGCAGAUAGUAAGCUAAAUGCCACCACGCUCCAUGUAAAUUUAGCAAGCUAGCUAGCG